GGGGCUGACUUGGAUUUCGACAGAUUUCUUGUCGCACAGAUAGCAUGCCAAGUGCUGCUUGUAAAACAGCAACAAAAAUAACUGUAAACAACACAGAUUACGCUCCAGCUUACGCUAAAGCUGCGUGAGUUAAUCUCCUUUUGGAGCUGGACUGAUUAGAAUUUCUAGCGUUUUAAUCACUCCAUAACCUUAAGCUAGACGCUUUUAAAAGGUGGUUCGCCUUUUAAACUAAGAAACAAGAACUCUUGAAACUACCUCAAGGUUUUAGAAAGUUGGACCAGAGCUAGUUUUAAGGCUAAAAAAUUAACCAAUUUUCUAAGCAUUGUAGAAGUUUGUGUUUAGGGCAAGAUUUUUGGACUGGGGUUCGAUUCCCCACAGCUCCACCA
RNAcentral lists this transfer-messenger RNA (386 nucleotides) under Helicobacter pylori. RNAcentral describes it as "Standard tmRNA". It matches the Rfam family "transfer-messenger RNA". Rfam says of the family: Bacterial tmRNA, also known as 10Sa RNA or SsrA, is named for its dual tRNA and mRNA-like properties. Its role is to liberate the mRNA from a stalled ribosome. To accomplish this part of the tmRNA is used as a reading frame that ends in a translation stop signal. The record is from RNAcentral. Lineage: Bacteria; Pseudomonadati; Campylobacterota; Epsilonproteobacteria; Campylobacterales; Helicobacteraceae.